UAGUUUUGUCCUAAAUCAAAGUUCUCUAAAUUUGACCAAGUUUAUAGAAAAAUAAUUAACAUCUACAAUACCAAAUAAAUACACUAUCAAGACAUAUUUCAUGGUGGAUUUUACUGAAACCAAUUUGAUGUUGUAGAUGUUGGUGCAUUUUUCUAUAAACGUGGUCAAAAUAGAAAAGUUUGACUUGAGGACGAAACUCA
This 200-nucleotide microRNA precursor is filed under the name Oryza punctata. Its description in RNAcentral is "MIR1435 microRNA precursor family". It matches the Rfam family "MIR1435 microRNA precursor family". Lineage: Eukaryota; Viridiplantae; Streptophyta; Magnoliopsida; Poales; Poaceae. The record is from Rfam by way of RNAcentral.